GACGAACGCUUGCGGCGUGCUUAACACAUGCAAGUCGAACGGAAAGGCCCUGCUUUUGUGGGGUGCUCGAGUGGCGAACGGGUGAGUAACACGUGAGUAACCUGCCCUUGACUUUGGGAUAACUUCAGGAAACUGGGGCUAAUACCGGAUAGGAGCUCCUGCUGCAUGGUGGGGGUUGGAAAGUUUCGGCGGUUGGGGAUGGACUCGCGGCUUAUCAGCUUGUUGGUGGGGUAGUGGCUUACCAAGGCUUUGACGGGUAGCCGGCCUGAGAGGGUGACCGGCCACAUUGGGACUGAGAUACGGCCCAGACUCCUACGGGAGGCAGCAGUGGGGAAUAUUGCACAAUGGGCGGAAGCCUGAUGCAGCAACGCCGCGUGCGGGAUGACGGCCUUCGGGUUGUAAACCGCUUUCGCCUGUGACGAAGCGUGAGUGACGGUAAUGGGUAAAGAAGCACCGGCUAACUACGUGCCAGCAGCCGCGGUGAUACGUAGGGUGCGAGCGUUGUCCGGAUUUAUUGGGCGUAAAGGGCUCGUAGGUGGUUGAUCGCGUCGGAAGUGUAAUCUUGGGGCUUAACCCUGAGCGUGCUUUCGAUACGGGUUGACUUGAGGAAGGUAGGGGAGAAUGGAAUUCCUGGUGGAGCGGUGGAAUGCGCAGAUAUCAGGAGGAACACCAGUGGCGAAGGCGGUUCUCUGGGCCUUUCCUGACGCUGAGGAGCGAAAGCGUGGGGAGCGAACAGGCUUAGAUACCCUGGUAGUCCACGCUGUAAACGGUGGGUACUAGGUGUGGGGUCCAUUCCACGGGUUCCGUGCCGUAGCUAACGCUUUAAGUACCCCGCCUGGGGAGUACGGCCGCAAGGCUAAAACUCAAAGGAAUUGACGGGGCCCCGCACAAGCGGCGGAGCAUGCGGAUUAAUUCGAUGCAACGCGUAGAACCUUACCUGGGUUUGACAUGGAUCGGGAGUGCUCAGAGAUGGGUGUGCCUCUUUUGGGGUCGGUUCACAGGUGGUGCAUGGCUGUCGUCAGCUCGUGUCGUGAGAUGUUGGGUUAAGUCCCGCAACGAGCGCAACCCUUGUUCACUGUUGCCAGCACGUUAUGGUGGGGACUCAGUGGAGACCGCCGGGGUCAACUCGGAGGAAGGUGGGGAUGACGUCAAGUCAUCAUGCCCCUUAUGUCCAGGGCUUCACGCAUGCUACAAUGGCUGGUACAGAGAGUGGCGAGCCUGUGAGGGUGAGCGAAUCUCGGAAAGCCGGUCUCAGUUCGGAUUGGGGUCUGCAACUCGACCUCGUGAAGUCGGAGUCGCUAGUAAUCGCAGAUCAGCAACGCUGCGGUGAAUACGUUCCCGGG
RNAcentral lists this ribosomal RNA (1343 nucleotides) under uncultured bacterium. RNAcentral describes it as "16S ribosomal RNA". It matches the Rfam family "Bacterial small subunit ribosomal RNA", at positions 28 to 1378 of the family's 1533-position model. The record is from RNAcentral.